Molecule: ribosomal RNA, 609 nt
Filed under: Phaeomonas parva
Lineage: Eukaryota; Pinguiophyceae; Pinguiochrysidales; Pinguiochrysidaceae
Description: partial Bacterial small subunit ribosomal RNA
Rfam family: Bacterial small subunit ribosomal RNA
Source: RNAcentral
GAAUUGACGGGGGCCCGCACAAGCGGUGGAGCAUGUGGUUUAAUUUGACAACGCGAAGAACCUUACCAGGGUUUGACAUGACGUAAAUUUCUUUGAGAAAAGAAAGUGCCGUAAGGAAUACGUACACAGGUGGUGCACGGCUGUCGUCAGCUCGUGUCGUGAGAUGUUGGGUUAAGUCCCGCAACGAGCGCAACCCUUGUUUUUAGUUGCCGUUAGGAAAUCUAAAAAGACUGCCGAUUCAACAUCGGAGGAAGGAAAGGACGACGUCAAGUCAUCAUGCCCCUUAUACCCUGGGCUACACACGUGCUACAAAGAGUAAGACAAUGAGCAGCUAACCUGUGAAGGGGUGCGAAUCUCCAAACUUACUCUCAGUUCGGAUUGUAGGCUGCAACUCGCCUACAUGAAGGUGGAAUCGCUAGUAAUCGCAGGUCAGCAUACUGCGGUGAAUCCGUUCCCGGGUCUUGUACACACCGCCCGUCACACCAUGGGAGCUGAUCACGCCCGAAGUUGUUACUCUAACCUUUUGGAGGAGGACACCUAAGGCAGGGUUAGUGACUAGGGUGAAGUCGGAACAAGGUAGCCCUACUGAAGGUGGGGCUGGAUUACCUC